AGUCACUUUGUCUUUAUGACAAAUGUGAGAUGCAGUGUAUGGAAUGUCAAAUUUCUAGUAUGAGAAAUUAAUGAUUUAAGUCCUUCUUAAAUGAGGCCAUUUACCCAAAGAGGGUGCCAGGCCCGUAUAACGUUAAUGAUUACUAGAUGGCAUUUCCAAAGAGUCGUGUUGCUUGAUAGUGCAGCACUAAGUGGGUGGUAAACUCCAUCUAAAACUAAAUAUAACCAUGAGACCGAUAGUAAACAAGUACCGUGAGGGAAAGUUGAAAAGAACUCUGAAUAGAGAGUUAAAUAGUACGUGAAACUGCUUAGAGGUUAAGCCCGAUGAACCUGAAUAUCCGCUGUGGAAAAUUCAUCAUUAUGAUUUUAAUAUUUGUAAUAUUAUAAUAAUGGUGUGCAUUUUUUCUAUAAAGGACAUUGUAAUCUAUUAAUAUAAAAAUUAUAUUUAUCAUAAGAUCAAUUUGCGUAAGUUUAUUCAAAUUAUUUUGCUUGCAAUUUAAUAUCGAAUAAAUGCUUUUGAUUUGAUAAAGUGUUGAUAGAUUCAUUUGUAUAUAGUGCUUAAAUAUAUUUAUAUAUUUUAUAAUAGCAUAUAAAUCAUUGAUUUUUAUGUUUAUUAUAUGCGCUUAUAUGAUUAACAAUGCGAAAGAUUCAGGAUACCUUCGGGACCCGUCUUGAAACACGGACCAAGGAGUCUAACAUAUUUGCAAGUUAUUGGGUAUAAAAACCUAAUAGCGAAAUUAACAUAACUAUAUUAUAAUGGGAUUAGUUUUUAGAUUAUUUUUUAAUAGUCUAUUAAUUCAAUCCCGGGGCGUUCUAUACAGUUAUGUAUAAUAAUAUUUAUAUUAUUUAUGCCUCUAACUAGAGCGUACCUUGAGCAUAUAUGCUGUGACCCGAAAGAUGGUGAACUAUACUUGAUCAGGUUGAAGUCAGGGGAAACCCUGAUGGAAGACCGAAACAGUUCUGACGUGCAAAUCGAUUGUCAGAAUUGAGUAUAGGGGCGAAAGACCAAUCGAACCAUCUAGUAGCUGGUUCCUUCCGAAGUUUCCCUCAGGAUAGCUGGUGCAUUUAAAAAUUAAGUAAAAUAAUCUUAUCUGGUAAAGCGAAUGAUUAGAGGCCUUAGGGUCGAAACGAUCUUAACCUAUUCUCAAACUUUAAAUGGGUAAGAACCUCACCUUUCUUGGUAUGAAGGUUGUGGUUGUGAUAUAAUGUGCCCAGUGGGCCACUUUUGGUAAGCAGAACUGGCGCUGUGGGAUGAACCAAACGUAAUGUUACGGUGCCCAAAUUAACAACUCAUGCAGAUACCAUGAAAGGCGUUGGUUGCU
Molecule: ribosomal RNA, 1321 nt
Filed under: Rhinomorinia sp. T635
Lineage: Eukaryota; Metazoa; Arthropoda; Insecta; Diptera; Rhinophoridae
Description: eukaryotic LSU rRNA
Rfam family: Eukaryotic large subunit ribosomal RNA
Source: RNAcentral